GAGGGCUGUCGCUGACUUUUUGAACCAAAAGUCGUGCACGCCCGUUCGUGUCCUCUCACAAUAAAAUCCAUCUCACCCUUUUGUGCACCACCGCGUGGGCACCUUUUGGGAUCGAACCGAUCCUGGAGGGGGCUUGCGUUUUCACACAAACCCCUUUUAAAAAGUGUAGAAUGACCCCAUUUUGCGAUGACACGCAAUCAAUACAACUUUCAACAACGGAUCUCUUGGCUCUCGCAUCGAUGAAGAACGCAGCGAAAUGCGAUACGUAAUGUGAAUUGCAGAAUUCAGUGAAUCAUCGAAUCUUUGAACGCACCUUGCGCCCCUUGGUAUUCCGAGGGGCACACCCGUUUGAGUGUCGUGAAAAUCUCAACCUUCUCGGUUUUCUUCUGGACACCGAAGGAGGCUUGGACUUUGGAGGCCUUUGCUGGCAUCUCUCUCUUUUUGAGAGCCAGCUCCUCUUAAACGAAUUAGCGGGGUCCUCUUUGCCGAUCCUCGACAUGUGAUAAGAUGUUUCCAUGACUUGGUUUCUGGCUCUGUUGCCUUUGGGACCCGAUUCUAAUCGUCUCGACUAGACAACAUUUGGGCGUGUCUCCCUUCUCGGGAGACUCUAUCGACCCCACGAACCCUUGACCUCAAAUCGGGUGAGACUACACGCUGAACUUAAGCAUAUCAAUACGCGGAGGAGAAGAAACUAACCAGGAUUCGCCUACUAACUGCAAGUGAAGCGAGAAAAGCUCAGAUUUAAAAUCUGGCGGUCUCUGGCCGUCCGAGUUGAAAUUU
Molecule: ribosomal RNA, 780 nt
Filed under: uncultured Lactarius
Lineage: Eukaryota; Fungi; Basidiomycota; Agaricomycetes; Russulales; Russulaceae
Description: eukaryotic LSU rRNA
Rfam family: 5.8S ribosomal RNA (bases 205-358)
Source: RNAcentral